Molecule: long non-coding RNA, 511 nt
Filed under: Pan troglodytes (chimpanzee)
Lineage: Eukaryota; Metazoa; Chordata; Mammalia; Primates; Hominidae
Description: long non-coding RNA NONPTRT002118
Source: RNAcentral
CUUGUCUGAUUUUUUAAUAGGGUCUUACUGGACAGAGCUCAUUCAGACUAUGACAGUGUGUUUCACCAUCUGGAUUUGGAAAUGCUUUCCUCACCACAACAUUCUCCAGUCAAUCAGUUUGCCAAUACCUCAGAAACAAAUACCUCGGACAAAUCUUUCUCUAAAGACCUCAGUCAGAUACUAGUCAAUAUCAAAUCAUGUAGAUGGCGGCAUUUUAGGCCUCGGACACCAUCCCUACAUGACAGUGACAAUGAUGAACUCUCCUGUAGAAAAUUAUAUAGGAGUAUAAACCGAACAGGAACAGCACAACCUGGGACCCAGACAUGCAGUACCUCUACGCAAAGUAAAAGUAGCAGUGGUUCAGCACACUUUGCAUUUACAGCCGAACAAUACCAGCAACAUCAACAGCAACUGGCACUCAUGCAGAAACAGCAGCUUGCACAAAUUCAGCAACAGCAAGCAAAUAGUAAUUCCUCCACCAACACAUCACAGAACCUUGCAUCUAACCAGC